This 248-nucleotide ribosomal RNA is filed under the name uncultured bacterium. Its description in RNAcentral is "partial 16S ribosomal RNA". It matches the Rfam family "Bacterial small subunit ribosomal RNA", at positions 524 to 771 of the family's 1533-position model. The record is from RNAcentral.
UACGAAGGGUGCAAACGUUGCUCGGAAUUAUUGGGCGUAAAGCGCACGUAGGCGGCUUUUCAAGUCCCAUGUGAAAUCCCACGGCUUAACCGUGGAAGUGCAUGGGAAACUGGAAAGCUUGAGUACUUAAGAGGAGAGUGGAAUUCCCGGUGUAGCGGUGAAAUGCGCAGAUAUCGGGAAGAACACCCGUGGCGAAGGCGGCUCUCUGGGACGGUACUGACGCUGAGACGCGAAAGCGUGGGGAGCGA